This 700-nucleotide ribosomal RNA is filed under the name uncultured bacterium. RNAcentral describes it as "bacterial SSU rRNA". It matches the Rfam family "Bacterial small subunit ribosomal RNA", at positions 94 to 812 of the family's 1533-position model. The record is from RNAcentral.
AGUGGCGAACGGGUGAGUAACACGUGGGCAACCUGCCCUUCACUUCGGGAUAACUCAGGGAAACCUGAGCUAAUACCGGAUACUCCUGCGAGAUCGCAUGGUCUUGCGGGGAAAGUUCCGGCGGUGAGGGAUGGGCCCGCGCCCCAUUAGCUUGUUGGUGAGGUAACGGCUCACCAAGGCAACGAUGGGUAGCCGAGCUGAGAGGCUGAUCGGCCACACUGGGACUGAGACACGGCCCAGACUCCUACGGGAGGCAGCAGUGGGGAAUCUUGCGCAAUGGGCGAAAGCCUGACGCAGCAACGCCGCGUGCGGGAUGAAGGCCUUCGGGUUGUAAACCGCUUUCAGCAGGGACGAAUCUGACUGUACCUGCAGAAGAAGCCCCGGCUAACUACGUGCCAGCAGCCGCGGUAAUACGUAGGGGGCAAGCGUUAUCCGGAUUCAUUGGGCGUAAAGCGCGCGUAGGCGGCUUGUUAAGUCAGGUGUGAAAACCGGGGGCUCAACCCGCGGCCUGCACCUGAAACUGGCAGGCUUGAGUCUGGUAGAGGGAAAUGGAAUUCCGAGUGUAGCGGUGAAAUGCGCAGAUAUUCGGAAGAACACCAGUGGCGAAGGCAGUUUCCUGGGCCACGACUGACGCUGAGGCGCGAAAGCUAGGGGAGCGAACAGGAUUAGAUACCCUGGUAGUCCUAGCCGUAAACGAUGG